RNAcentral lists this ribosomal RNA (253 nucleotides) under uncultured bacterium. RNAcentral describes it as "partial 16S ribosomal RNA". It matches the Rfam family "Bacterial small subunit ribosomal RNA", at positions 524 to 776 of the family's 1533-position model. The record is from RNAcentral.
UACAGAGGGUGCGAGCGUUGUCCAGAAUCACUGGGCGUAAAGGGCGCGUAGGUGGCGGGCCAAGUCCAUGGUGAAAGCUCGAUGCUCAACAUCGAGUCGGCCACGGAUACUGGGUUGCUGGAGCACUGUAGAGGCAGAUGGAAUUCCGGGUGUAGCGGUGGAAUGCGUAGAGAUCCGGAAGAACACCGGUGGCGAAGGCGGUCUGCUGGGCAGUUGCUGACAGUGAGGCGCGACGGCGUGGGGAGCAAACAGG